CCUACGGGAGGCAGCAGUGGGGAAUAUUGGACAAUGGGCGAAAGCCUGAUCCAGCCAUGCCGCGUGUGUGAAGAAGGUCUUCGGAUUGUAAAGCACUUUAAGUUGGGAGGAAGGGUUGUAGAUUAAUACUCUGCAAUUUUGACGUUACCGACAGAAUAAGCACCGGCUAACUUCGUGCCAGCAGCCGCGGUAAUAC
Molecule: ribosomal RNA, 196 nt
Filed under: uncultured bacterium
Lineage: Bacteria
Description: partial 16S ribosomal RNA
Rfam family: Bacterial small subunit ribosomal RNA
Source: RNAcentral